Mirounga angustirostris (Northern elephant seal) is the source of this 1831-nucleotide long non-coding RNA. RefSeq lists it as uncharacterized. The record is from RefSeq and is a predicted model, not a curated record. The transcript has 6 exons. NCBI's taxonomy places the organism in Eukaryota, Metazoa, Chordata, Mammalia, Carnivora, Phocidae.
GGCGAGCGGCCGCUAACGGACCCCUGAGGGGCCCGGCCCCCUCAGCGUCGGCGUCCUCUGCGCCCCGCCUCUUUCGCCCUGGUUCCCAGGCCACAUGCCUUCGGGUCGCCCGCGCAGCGUUUCUACUGCCGCCUUUCUCGCCCUCCCAAGGGUUGGCCCCGCGCUCCCCGGCCUGCGGGACGCGCGCCGGGCUCGCGGCGCCGCCCACAGACCCCGACGGGGCCUUCCGCUCCGCCCGGGCAACCCGUACGUCGAGGACAGCCUGCCGCGGGGCUUGCUGAGGAGACGCCUGAAGGCCCAGAUACAGUUGGAGGUUCAUUAUCCAAGAUAUUGCAGAUUGGAAUUGUAACCCUGUCAUGUUGCCCUGUCACAUCUGGAAGGAACUGUUCAUUGCCAGAAAGAAAAGCACCUUCUCCAGCACUCAUGGAUCCCAGUUAGUGGUGUUUACUGAAGUGAGAAAGGAUUUGCAGCUGUUUGGAGCCUGAGUGGCAGAUGAAACCAACUUGGAGACUUCCGGGGCACAAGUAUGAGUUACAACCCAGAGGCUGUAGGGGGCACAGAUAGCACAUAGGCCACCUCCAUACUCGGAGAGCUGAGGAGAUCUCAGGAUGGGCACACAUCCAGAGGUUUGUCUUUGGGAAAUUCAGGGAUCACCCACUGUACAUCCAGACGCUGGCCUGAAUGGAGAGGAGACGUGCCAUUGCCUUGGAGCAGGGCAGGCUGCAUGGAGAACAAGAAGGCUUCCUGCCUCCUCCAACUUUGGAUACACUGGAAAGCUGGACGGCCAUCAGAAUUUGCCAUCAGUGGACUAAAUGAACAAGCUGGUUACCUCAGUGGAAAUUCCACAAGGAGAUAAAUCCCUUCCUAUGACCUCAAUAUUUCAAUGGAAUGCUUCCUGGCAUUAAAGUCUCUAAGCCCCACUGGUUGGGCCCAAAUUCAAGGAAAGCCCAAAAAGUCUGCAAACUGGAAAAGUGAAAUGGACAAUGUAAAUAUCAUAAAGAGAUGACAUCUGAAACAGUUUUAAAAUAAGAGGGAAUGACUUCUUCAAGUCUUAACAUGAGUCCUUGAGAACUGAGCUAUUCAAUGAAUUAUAUAUAAAAGCAGCCCCCAGGAAUACAACCUACUCCAUGUACUGCUUAGGGAAGCCCAAUAUUUACAGAUUCAUUCAGUGGCACAGCAUACCUGUAAAGUAAGACCAUCAUUCCCAUUUUACUAAUUAGGAACAGGCUGAGGUCAGUUAGGGAAUUUACUCAAGGUGCCUUAGCAAGAGUAUCAGUGAAAAGACCUGAACUCCCAAACCUGUGCUCAACAUCACGCCACCAUCCCGUUCUAGAACUUGACUCCCUUGGCUCUCAUGCCUUUGAUCUUUAAGAUCUAUCUAGCCAAGCCCUAGCCUUCUUCUUUAAAUGCUUCCUCUCAAAACAGAACUCUCUCAUGUCUCAAAGUUUCAACUACAAAAACAAUCACAGAUGACUCAACUCUCACUUUCUGGAACUCCUCUCUCUCAAUCCAAAGGCCAACAUCGGAAGCUAAAUGCAGUAACACAUGAUCUUCCCAUAGAAUGUCAGAAGGAUCUUAAAAUACAAGAUGAGCCACUUUCCUAUUAAAUUUUUCUUAUCACUUGAACCAUCACCAAGUGUUCUGGAUGCGGUAAGUACUGGUAUGUCACCGGAAGAGUGAAUUUAACUAUAAAAGGAAGCACACAGUUGCCUGGGAAGGUCUCUGAACCCUUCCCUUCCUCCCCAGGUUAGCGGCAGCAGAGCAGCAGACCCCAUGCAGUGGAUAGCAGCACCAGACCGGGCUCGGGCUGGCCAGGCUUACUCACCUGUAG